This 253-nucleotide ribosomal RNA is filed under the name uncultured bacterium. RNAcentral describes it as "partial 16S ribosomal RNA". It matches the Rfam family "Bacterial small subunit ribosomal RNA", at positions 524 to 776 of the family's 1533-position model. The record is from RNAcentral.
UACGUAGGGGGCAAGCGUUGUCCGGAUUUAUUGGGCGUAAAGAGCGUGUAGGCGGCUAGGUAGGUCCGUUGUGAAAACUCGAGGCUCAACCUCGAGACGCCGGUGGAAACCAUCUAGCUAGAGUCCGGAAGAGGAGAGUGGAAUUCCUGGUGUAGCGGUGAAAUGCGCAGAUAUCAGGAGGAACACCCGUAGCGAAGGCGGCACACUGGGCCGGUACUGACGCUGAGGAGCGAAAGCGUGGGGAGCAAACAGG